AUAUAAGUAGGGAAGUCCAGGUCCCUGGCUGUCAAGAAAAGCCGCUAUCGUUUUAUAUGUGCCCGUACCGCAAACCGACACAGGUGGAUGAGGAGAGAAUCCUAAGGCCGACGGGAGAAGUAUUGUUAAGGAACUCGGCAAAAUGACUCCGUAACUUCGGGAGAAGGAGUGCCAUGAGAGUGGCCGCAGAGAAAUGGCCCAAGCAACUGUUUAGCAAAAACACAGGUCUAUGCAAAACCGCAAGGUGAAGUAUAUGGGCUGACGCCUGCCCGGUGCUGGAAGGUUAAGGGGAGAGGUUAGCGCAAGCGAAGCUUUGAACUUAAGCCCCAGUAAACGGCGGCCGUAACAAUAACGGUCCUAAGGUAGCGAAAUUCCUUGUCGGGUAAGUUCCGACCCGCACGAAAGGCGUAAUGAUUUGGGCACUGUCUCAACGAUACACCCGGUGAAAUUGAAAUACCAGUGAAGAUGCUGGUUACCUGCGCCAGGACGGAAAGACCCCAUGGAGCUUUACUCCAGUUUGAUACUGGGAUUCGGCAUGGUAUGUACAGGAUAGGUGGGAGACUGAGAAGGUAUGACGUCAGUUGUACCGGAGUCGCUGUUGGGAUACCACCCUUACCAUGUUGGAUUUCUAACCUGUGGCCGUGAUCCGGUCAGGGGACAAUGCCAGGCGGGGAGUUUGACUGGGGCGGUCGCCUCCGAAAGGGUAUCGGAGGCGCUCAAAGGUUCCCUCAGAAUGGUUGGAAACCAUUCGAAGAGUGCAAAGGCAGAAGGGAGCUUGACUGUGACACCGACGGGUGGAGCAGGUACGAAAGUAGGACUUAGUGAUCCGGUGGUAUAAAGUGGGAUUGCCAUCGCUCAACGGAUAAAAGCUACCCUGGGGAUAACAGGCUUAUCACUCCCAAGAGUUCACAUCGACGGAGUGGUUUGGCACCUUGAUGUCGGCUCAUCGCAUCCUGGAGCUGUAGCAGGUUCCAAGGGUUGGGCUGUUCGCCCAUUAAAGCGGUACGCGAGCUGGGUUCAGAACGUCGUGAGACAGUUCGGUCCCUAUCCGGCGCAGGCGGAGGAAAUUUGAUAGGAGCUGUCCUUAGUACGAGAGGACCGGGAUGGACGGACCGCUGGUGUAUCUGUUGUACUGCCAAGUGCAUAGCAGAGUAGCCAAGUCUGGAAGGGAUAAACGCUGAAGGCAUCUAAGCGUGAAGCCCCCCUAAAGAUAAGAUUUCCCAUACCGAAAGGUAGUAAGACCCCUUGAAGACGACGAGGUAGAUAGGGCAGAGGUGGAAGUACGGUAACGUAUGGAGCUGACUGUUACUAAUCGGUCGAGGCUUUAAUC
RNAcentral lists this ribosomal RNA (1330 nucleotides) under metagenome. RNAcentral's name for it is "bacterial LSU rRNA". It matches the Rfam family "Bacterial large subunit ribosomal RNA", at positions 1576 to 2925 of the family's 2925-position model. The record is from RNAcentral.